CAGCAUCUCCAGGGCCUCCUCCAGCCCCUCUCCGACACCUCCGUGUCCUUCUGGGGCUGAGGAACAUCUUGUGCUUUAUUAGGUAUGAGAAAAGAGCAACUCCAUCUCUGGACGUUGCCUAAAGCAUGAUGGUGAUGAUGAUGAUGAUGAUGGUGGCCACCAUGAUGGUGGUGAUGGUGGUUGUGGUCGUGGUGAUGAUGGUGGUGGCCACGGUGAUGAAGGUCGUGGUGGUGACCGUGGUGGUCGUGGUGAUGAAGAUGGUGGCCAUGGCGAUGGUGGUGGCCAUGGGGGUGGUCAUGGUGANNNNNNNNNNNNNNNNNNNNNNNNNNNNNNNNNNNNNNNNNNNNNNNNNNNNNNNNNNNNNNNNNNNNNNNNNNNNNNNNNNNNNNNNNNNNNNNNNNNNNNNNNNNNNNNNNNNNNNNNNNNNNNNNNNNNNNNNNNNNNNNNNNNNNNNNNNNNNNNGGAGGGUCCUCGUUAAUUAGUGUGUAAUUGUGGGGGUCGGAAAGGGGGGGGGAUGGUGAUGGUGAUGAUGAUGAUGAUGGUGGUGGCCACCAUGAUGGUGGUGAUGGUGAUGGUCGUGGUGAUGAAGAUGGUGGUCAUGGUGAUGAAGACAGUGGUCAUGGUGAUGAAGAUGGUGGCCAUGGCGAUGGUGGUGGCCACGGUGAUGAAGGUCGUGGUGGUGACCGUGGUGGUCGUGGUGAUGAAGAUGGUGGCCAUGGCGAUGGUGGUGGCCAUGGUGGUGGUCAUGGUGAUGAAGACGGUGCCCAUGGUGAUGAAGAUGGUGGCCAUGGCGAUGGUGGUGGCCACGGUGAUGAUGCUCAUGGUGGUGACGAUGGUCAUGAUGACGAUGGUGGUCAUGGUGAUGAAGACAGUGGUCAUGGUGAUGAAGAUGGUGGUCAUGGUGAGGAUGGUGUCAUGACGAAGGUCAUAGUGGUGGUCAUGGUGGUCAUGGUGAUGAAGAUGGUGGCCAUGGCGAUGAUGGUGACAGUGGUGGUGGCCGCGGUGACGAUGGUCAUGAUGGUGACGAUGGUCAUGAUGACGAUAGUGGUCAUGGUGAUGAAGAUGGUGGUCGUGGUGAUGAAGAUGGUGGCCAUGGCGAUGAUGGUGACGGUGGUGGUGGCCACGGUGAUGAUGGUCAUGGUGGUGACGAUGGUCAUGAUGACGAUGGUGGUCAUGGUGAUGAUGGUCAUGGUGACAAUGGUGGUCAUGGCAAUGAAGAUGGUGGCCAUGGUGAUGAUGGUGACAAUGGUGGUGGCCAUGGUGAUGAUGGUCAUGGUGACAAUGGUGGUCAUGGCAAUGAAGAUGGUGGCCAUGGUGAUGAUGCUGACAAUGGUGGUGGCCACAGUGAUGAUGGUCAUGAUGACGAUGGUCAUGGCGAUGAAGAUGGUGGCCAUGGUGACGAUGGGCAUGAUGGUGAUGAUGGCCAUGAUGACGUUGGUGGUCAUGGUGAUGAAGAUGAUGGCCAUGGUGAUGAUGGUGACAAUGGUGGUGGCCACAGUGAUGAUGGUCAUGAUGACGAUGGUCAUGGCGAUGAAGAUGGUGGCCAUGGUGACGAUGGUCAUGAUGGUGAUGAUGGCCAUGAUGACGUUGGUGGUCAUGGUGAUGAAGAUGAUGGCCAUGGUGAUGAUGGUGACAAUCAUGGCGAUGCUGGUGACAAUGGUGGUGGCCAUGGUGAUGAUGGUCAUGGUGACAAUGGUGGUCAUGGCAAUGAAGAUGGUGGCCAUGGUGAUGAUGGUGACAAUGGUGGUGGCCACAGUGAUGAUGGUCAUGAUGACGAUGGUCAUGGCGAUGAAGAUGGUGGUCAUGGUGACGAUGGUCAUGAUGACGACGAUGGUCAUGAUGAUGAUGGUGGUCAUGGUGAUGAAGAUGGUGGCCAUGGUGACGAUGGUCAUGAUGGUCAUGAUGGUCAUGAUGACGUUGGUGGUCAUGGUGAUGAAGAUGAUGGCCAUGGUGAUGAUGGUGACAAUGGUGGUGGCCAUGGUGACGAUGGUCAUGAUGAGGAUCGUGCUCAUGGUGAUGAUGAUGGUGGCCCUGGUGAUGAUGGUGACAACGGUGAUGGUAGUGGUGGCCAUGGUGAUGGUGGUGACGAUGGUGACAAUGGCCGUGGUGGUCGUGGUGAUGAUGGUGGUGGCCACGGUGACAAUGAUGACGAUGAUGAUGAUGGUGACGGUGGUGACUUGGAUGCUGGGACUGAGCUCCAGGUGCUGGUGGCCCCUGCUCAUGGCCUUGGGGACCUCCAUGGUGUCAUGGCCUUGGGGACCUCCGUGGUGGUGUGACCCCAGGGAGCUCCAUGGGGUCAUGGCCUCUGGCUGGGUCCUUGGGGACCUCCGUGGUGUCGUGUCCUCCGUGGUGGUGUGUUCUUGGGGACCUCCGUGGUGUGGUGGCCUUGGGGACCUCUGUGAUGGCACAUCCUUGGGGUCCUCCAUGGUCUUGGGUCCUCGUGGACCUCCACGGGGUUGUCCCCUGAAGGUCCUUCAUGGUGCCACGUCCCUGGAGACUUCUUUGGUGCCACAUCCCUGGGGACUUCCGUGGUGGCACAUCCUUGAUGUCCUCCGUGGUAGUCGUGGUGAUGAUGGUGGUGGCCACGGUGACAAUGAUGACGAUGAUGAUGAUGGUGACGGUGGUGACUUGGAUGCUGGGACUGAGCUCCAGGUGCUGGUGGCCCCUGUUCAUGGCCUUGGGGACCUCCAUGGUGUCAUGGCCUUGGGGACCUCCGUGGUGGUGUGACCCCAGGGAGCUCCAUGGGGUCAUGGCCUCUGGCUGGGUCCUUGGGGACCUCCGUGGUGUCGUGUCCUCCGUGGUGGUGUGUUCUUGGGGACCUCCGUGGUGUGGUGGCCUUGGGGACCUCUGUGAUGGCACAUCCUUGGGGUCCUCCAUGGUCUUGGGUCCUCGUGGACCUCCACGGGGUUGUCCCCUGAAGGUCCUUCAUGGUGCCACGUCCCUGGAGACUUCUUUGGUGCCACAUCCCAUGGUGAUGAAGAUGAUGGCCAUCCUUGAUGUCCUCCGUGGUAGCACAUCCUUGAGGUCCUCCACCACAGCGUGACCUUGGGGAUCUCCAUGACGUCAUCGUCUUGCAGACCUCCAUGGUGCCGUGUCCUCAAGGGCCUCUGCAGUGGCCCCAGCCUUGGGGACGUCACCUCCCUGAGGACCUCCACGGUGCUGUGUUCUUGAGGACCUCCACGAUGUUGUGGCCUUGAGGUCCUCCGUGGCGCCAUGUCCUUGAGGUCCUCCAUGAUGUCAUAUCCUUGAGGACCUCCUUGAUGCCACGUCCUUGAGAUCCUCCACAGUGCCAUGUCCUUGAGGUCCUCUGCCGUGUUCGUGCUCUUGAGGACCUCCACAGUGCCACGUUCUCCACAGUGCCAUGGCCUUGAGGUCCUGCGUGGUGCCACGUCCUUGAGGACCUCCAUGGAGUCAUGACCUUGAGGUCCUCCAUGGCAUCAUGUCUUUGAGGUCCUCCAUGAUGCCAUGACCUUGAGGUCCUCCAUGAUGCCACGUCCUUGAGGUUCUCCAUGGAGUCAUGACCUUGAGGUCCUCCAUGAUGUUGUGACCUUGAGGUUCUCCAUGGAGUCAUCACCUUGAGGUUCUCCAUGGAGUUAUGUCUUUGAGGUCCUCCAUGGCAUCAUGACCUUGAGGUCCUCCAUAGAGUCAUGACCUUGAGGUCCUCCAUGGAGUCUUGACCUUGAAGUCCUCCAUGGUGCCACAUCCUUGAGGUCCUCCAUGGCGUCUUGUCUUUGAGGUUCUCCAUGGAGUCAUGACCUUGAAGUCCUCCAUGGUGUCAUGUUUUGAGGCCCUCCACGAUGUUGUGACCUUGAGGUCCUCCAUGAUGCCACGUCCUUGAGGUCCUCCACGAUGCCAUGACCUUGAGGUCCUCCAUGGUGCCACAUCCUUGAGGUCCUCCAUGGUGACAUGUCCUUGAGGACCUCCAUGGCAUCAUGUCCUUCAGGACCUCCAUGGCGUCGUGUCCUUGAGGUCCUCCAUGAUGUCGUGACCUUGAGGUCCUCCACGGUGCCACAUCCUUGAGGUCCUCCAUGGUGACAUGUCCUUGAGGUCCUCCAUGGUGUCUUGACCUUGAGGUUCUCCAUGAUGUAGUGACCUUGAAGUCCUCUACGGUGCCACAUCCUUGAGGUCCUCCAUGGCAUCAUGACCUUGAGGACCUCCAUGAUGUUGUGACCUUGAGGUCCUCCAUGGAGUCAUCACCUUGAGGUCCUCCAUAGAGUCAUGACCUUGAGGUCCUCCAUGCCGUCUUGUCUUUGAGGACCUCCAUGAUGUAGUAACCUUGAGGUCCUCCAUGAUGCCAUGUCCUUGAGGUCCUCCAUGGCGUCUUGUCUUUGAGGUUCUCCAUGGAGUCAUGACCUUGAAGUCCUCCAUGGCGUCAUGUCUUUGAGGUCCUCCAUGAUGUUGUGACCUUGAGGACCUCCAUGAUGUUGAGACCCUGAGGUUCUCCAUGGAGUCAUGACCUUGAGGUUCUCCAUGAUGCCACAUCCUUGAGGCCCUCCAUGAUGGAUGUCAUGACCUUGAGGUCCUCCAUGACGUCAUGACCUUGACGUCCUCCAUGGAGCCAUCACCUUGAGGUUCUCCAAGGAAGCGAUUCCCCCCCAACCCCCCCCAAUCCAACAACCAUCUUCCACUGUCUGUCAAUAUGUGUGUAUUUUUGGGAUAAGGAUUAGAUAAUCAUAAUAAACAUCGGUGUUGUUACUGGCC
This 4701-nucleotide long non-coding RNA is filed under the name Calidris pugnax (ruff). RNAcentral describes it as "lncRNA (ENSCPUG00000006091.1)". Lineage: Eukaryota; Metazoa; Chordata; Aves; Charadriiformes; Scolopacidae. The record is from RNAcentral.